This 413-nucleotide ribosomal RNA is filed under the name uncultured bacterium. RNAcentral's name for it is "bacterial SSU rRNA". It matches the Rfam family "Bacterial small subunit ribosomal RNA", at positions 505 to 916 of the family's 1533-position model. The record is from RNAcentral.
GUGUCAGCCGCCGCGGUAAUACGUAGGAUGCAAGCGUUGUUCGGAAUUAUUGGGUGUAAAGGGCGCGUAGGUGGCCCUGUAAGUCAUGGGUGAAAUCCCUCGGCUUAACCGAGGAAUUGCCUAUGAUACUGCAGGGCUUGAGUACGGGAGAGGGAAGUGGAAUUCCUGGUGUAGCGGUGAAAUGCGUAGAUAUCAGGAGGAACACCGGUGGCGAAGGCGGCUUCCUGGACCGAUACUGACACUGAGGCGCGAAAGCGUGGGUAGCAAACAGGAUUAGAUACCCUGGUAGUCCACGCCCUAAACGAUGGGUACUAGGUGUGAGGACUCUUUAAUGUCUUCGUGCCGUAGCUAACGCAUUAAGUACCCCACCUGGGAAGUACGGCCGCAAGGUUGAAACUCAAAUGAAUUGACGG